This 486-nucleotide ribosomal RNA is filed under the name uncultured bacterium. RNAcentral's name for it is "partial 16S ribosomal RNA". It matches the Rfam family "Bacterial small subunit ribosomal RNA", at positions 30 to 507 of the family's 1533-position model. The record is from RNAcentral.
AUUGAACGCUGGCGGCAUGCCUUACACAUGCAAGUCGAACGGCAGCACGGGUGCUUGCACCUGGUGGCGAGUGGCGAACGGGUGAGUAAUACAUCGGAACAUGUCCUGUAGUGGGGGAUAGCCCGGCGAAAGCCGGAUUAAUACCGCAUACGAUCCACGGAUGAAAGCGGGGGACCUUCGGGCCUCGCGCUAUAGGGUUGGCCGAUGGCUGAUUAGCUAGUUGGUGGGGUAAAGGCCUACCAAGGCGACGAUCAGUAGCUGGUCUGAGAGGACGACCAGCCACACUGGGACUGAGACACGGCCCAGACUCCUACGGGAGGCAGCAGUGGGGAAUUUUGGACAAUGGGCGAAAGCCUGAUCCAGUAAUGCCGCGUGUGUGAAGAAGGCCUUCGGGUUGUAAAGCACUUUUGUCCGGAAAGAAAUCCUUGACUCUAAUACAGUCGGGGGAUGACGGUACCGGAAGAAUAAGCACCGGCUAACUACGUG